This 823-nucleotide ribosomal RNA is filed under the name uncultured bacterium. RNAcentral describes it as "partial 16S ribosomal RNA". It matches the Rfam family "Bacterial small subunit ribosomal RNA", at positions 1 to 841 of the family's 1533-position model. The record is from RNAcentral.
UUAGAGUUUGAUCCUGGCUCAGGACGAACGCUGGCGGCGUGCCUAACACAUGCAAGUCGAGCGAAUGAAAUUCCUUCGGGAACGGAUUUAGCGGCGGACGGGUGAGUAACACGUGGGCAACCUGCCUCAUAGAGGGGAAUAGCCUUCCGAAAGGGAGAUUAAUACCGCAUAAGAUUGUAGUACCGCAUGGUACAGCAAUUAAAGGAGCAAUCCGCUAUGAGAUGGGCCCGCGGCGCAUUAGCUAGUUGGUGAGGUAACGGCUCACCAAGGCGACGAUGCGUAGCCGACCUGAGAGGGUGAUCGGCCACAUUGGGACUGAGACACGGCCCACACUCCUACGGGAGGCAGCAGUGGGGAAUAUUGCACAAUGGGGGAAACCCUGAUGCAGCAACGCCGCGUGAGUGAUGACGGCCUUCGGGUUGUAAAGCUCUGUCUUCAGGGACGAUAAUGACGGUACCUGAGGAGGAAGCCACGGCUAACUACGUGCCAGCAGCCGCGGUAAUACGUAGGUGGCGAGCGUUGUCCGGAUUUACUGGGCGUAAAGGGAGCGUAGGCGGAUUUUUAAGUGAGAUGUGAAAUACUCGGGCUUAACCUGAGUGCUGCAUUUCAAACUGGAAGUCUAGAGUGCAGGAGAGGAGAAGGGAAUUCUUAGUGUAGCGGUGAAAUGCGUAAAGAUUAAGAAAAACACCAGUGGCGAAGGCGCUUCUCUGGACUGUAACUGACCCUGAAGGCUCAAAAGCGGGGGGAACAAAACGGAAUUAAAUACCCCGGGUCAUCCACCCCCAUAAAAAAAAAAAUACUUAGGGGGGGCGGGGGACCUGAC